ACUACGGGCGGCAGCAGUGGGGGAUAUUGCACAAUGGGGGGAACCCUGAUGCAGCGACGCCGCGUGGGUGAAGAAGCGCCUCGGCGCGUAAAGCCCUGUCAGCAGGGAAGAAAAUGACGGUACCUGAAGAAGAAGCCCCGGCUAACUACGUGCCAGCAGCCGCGGUAAUACGUAGGGGGCAAGCGUUAUCCGGAUUUACUGGGUGUAAAGGGGGCGCAGACGGCGGUGCAAGCCAGGAGUGAAAGCCCGGGGCCCAACCCCGGGACUGCUCUUGGAACUGCGUGGCUGGAGUGCAGGAGGGGCAGGCGGAAUUCCUGGUGUAGCGGUGAAAUGCGUAGAUAUCAGGAGGAACACCGGUGGCGAAGGCGGCCUGCUGGACUGCAACUGACGUUGAGGCCCGAAAGCGUGGGGAGCAAACAGGAUUAGAUACCCUGGUAGUC
This 440-nucleotide ribosomal RNA is filed under the name uncultured bacterium. RNAcentral's name for it is "partial 16S ribosomal RNA". It matches the Rfam family "Bacterial small subunit ribosomal RNA", at positions 338 to 795 of the family's 1533-position model. The record is from RNAcentral.